RNAcentral lists this ribosomal RNA (701 nucleotides) under uncultured Enterobacteriaceae bacterium. RNAcentral's name for it is "bacterial SSU rRNA". It matches the Rfam family "Bacterial small subunit ribosomal RNA", at positions 801 to 1502 of the family's 1533-position model. The record is from RNAcentral. Lineage: Bacteria; Pseudomonadati; Pseudomonadota; Gammaproteobacteria; Enterobacterales; Enterobacteriaceae.
UGUAAACGAUGUCGAUUGGAGGUUGUUCCCUUGAGGAGUGGCUUCCGGAGCUAACGCGUUAAAUCGACCGCCUGGGGAGUACGGCCGCAAGGUUAAAACUCAAAUGAAUUGACGGGGGCCCGCACAAGCGGUGGAGCAUGUGGUUUAAUUCGAUGCAACGCGAAGAACCUUACCUACUCUUGACAUCCAGAGAAUUUAGCAGAGAUGCUUUAGUGCCUUCGGGAACUCUGAGACAGGUGCUGCAUGGCUGUCGUCAGCUCGUGUUGUGAAAUGUUGGGUUAAGUCCCGCAACGAGCGCAACCCUUAUCCUUUGUUGCCAGCACAUUAUGGUGGGAACUCAAAGGAGACUGCCGGUGAUAAACCGGAGGAAGGUGGGGAUGACGUCAAGUCAUCAUGGCCCUUACGAGUAGGGCUACACACGUGCUACAAUGGCGUAUACAAAGAGAAGCGACCUCGCGAGAGCAAGCGGAACUCAUAAAGUACGUCGUAGUCCGGAUUGGAGUCUGCAACUCGACUCCAUGAAGUCGGAAUCGCUAGUAAUCGUAGGUCAGAAUGCUACGGUGAAUACGUUCCCGGGCCUUGUACACACCGCCCGUCACACCAUGGGAGUGGGUUGCAAAAGAAGUAGGUAGCUUAACCUUCGGGAGGGCGCUUACCACUUUGUGAUUCAUGACUGGGGUGAAGUCGUAACAAGGUAACCA